GGGCUUGCUUAGACAGCGCAUAUACUAAAAUUGGAACUACAGAAAAAAUUAGCAUGGCCCCUGUACAAGGAGGACAUGCAAAUUCAUGAGGUGUUCCAUAUUUUU
RNAcentral lists this small nuclear RNA (105 nucleotides) under Mus caroli (Ryukyu mouse). The record is from RNAcentral. Lineage: Eukaryota; Metazoa; Chordata; Mammalia; Rodentia; Muridae.